Molecule: ribosomal RNA, 535 nt
Filed under: uncultured archaeon
Lineage: Archaea
Description: bacterial SSU rRNA
Rfam family: Archaeal small subunit ribosomal RNA
Source: RNAcentral
GAAAACUCUUCCCUUAAGCAACUGCGAUAGGGGAACAUCGAGUGAUCCUCAUAUUGGGGGUCUGUCCCACCGUCUAAAAAACGGUGGUUAGCAAGGGCCGGGCAAGACCGGUGCCAGCCGCCGCGGUAAUACCGGCGGCUCGAGUGGUGGCCGAUAUUAUUGAGUCUAAAGGGUCCGUAGCCGGCUUUGCAAGUCUCUCGGGAAAUCCAGCGGCUUAACCGUUGGUCGUCCGGGGGGUACUACAUUGCUUGGGACUGGGAGAGGUAGGAGGUACUCAGGGGGUAGGAGUGAAAUCCUGUAAUCCUCUGGGGACCACCGGUGGCGAAGGCGUCCUACCAGAACAGGUCCGACGGUGAGGGACGAAAGCUAGGGGCACGAACCGGAUUAGAUACCCGGGUAGUCCUAGCCGUAAACGAUGCUCGCUAGGUGUCACAACAGUCGUGAACUGUUGUGGUGCCGUAGGGAAGCCGUGAAGCGAGCCACUUGGGAAGUACGACCGCAAGGUUGAAACUUAAAGGAAUUGGCGGGGGAGCAC